AUGGAAACUCUUGCUGAGGAGAUUUUGCGGGAGAUCCUGCUGAGUCUGCUGACAAGAGACGACGCUCGCUGCUGCUGUGUCUCGAGGCUCUGGUGCGGCGUGGUCACAGACCCCACCUUCCGAGCCCUUCAUGCUAGGGCCCGGCAUGUCGUCGCCGGCGCCGGCGCGGAGGCCCUGCUCGUUUCCGAGAUCCGCGACCCUGGUAAAAGCCUCGAGGUGAGAGUAUACAACAUCAAUUCGCCUAAGCCCAUGUGCCGCGUCCUCGGCCUGGCCGGCGGAUACAAACCAGCCAAUGCCUGCAAAGGAUUCCUCCUUCUCGCGUCCGGUGUCAAAAAUUGGCCUGUGCUCGUGUCCAACCCCGUCACCGGUGAAAAGCUGGAGGUCCCACCGCCACCGAAGAUCAAUUUCAUCGACGACUACUGGCACAGGUAUGGCAUGGGGUUCAGCCCGGCCGCCCACAAGUACAAGCUGUUCCGGUUUUCCUUCCCGUUUGUGUCCGAGGAGGACAACAACCACCUAGACGUGUACACCUUAGGCGAUGGCCGUGGGUGGCGCCGGCACCCGAUCCUGUUCCCCUAUGCCGCGGUCUACGGCCUCCACUCGCCGCCGCCAGUGUCCAUGGACGGCAAGCUGUACCACCGCCACCGGUCGCCCAACAGGAUACUAGUGAUUGACGUUGCGAGCGAGGCACACUGCACAUACCGCCUCCCCUAUCAGCAUAUGAUGAGUCAGCCCAUGGCGGUGCAUGCCUUGGAGAUGCACGGACGGCUUUGGUCGCCGUGCGUGACCAAAGAGAACUCGAUUUCUGGAUCAUGCGGUCAUUGGGUCCACACCUUCAUGACCAGGACGAUGAUAGACUGCCUCAUUGGGAACUACGGUACAACUUUUACAUCGACGACAUGGACAUUCAUGAGAUAA
Molecule: ribosomal RNA, 918 nt
Filed under: Triticum aestivum (bread wheat)
Lineage: Eukaryota; Viridiplantae; Streptophyta; Magnoliopsida; Poales; Poaceae
Description: partial small subunit ribosomal RNA
Source: RNAcentral